GGUGAACGCUAGCGGCAGGCUUAAUACAUGCAAGUCGUACGGGAUCCGAGGUAGCAAUACUUUGGUGAGAGUGGCGCACGGGUGCGUAACACGUAUGCAACCUACCUUUAACCGGGACACAACCUUGAGAAAUUGAGGCUAAUAUCCCAUAACACUGCGAAGUGGCAUCACUAUGCAGUUAAAACUCCGGUGGUUAUUGAUGGGCAUGCGCGACAUUAGCUAGUUGGUGAGGUAACGGCCCACCAAGGCUACGAUGUCUAGGGGUUCUGAGAGGAUUAUCCCCCANACUGGUACUGAGACACGGACCAGACUCCUACGGGAGGCAGCAGUAAGGAAUAUUGGUCAAUGGGCGCAAGCCUGAACCAGCCAUGCCGCGUGAAGGAUGACGGCCCUAUGGGUUGUAAAAGAGCUUUAAGUAGGGAAGAAGAAAGUGACGGCACCUACAGAAUAAGCGACGGCUAAAAUACGUGCCAGCAGCCG
Molecule: ribosomal RNA, 480 nt
Filed under: uncultured bacterium
Lineage: Bacteria
Description: bacterial SSU rRNA
Rfam family: Bacterial small subunit ribosomal RNA
Source: RNAcentral